AUUCCAGCUCCAAUAGCGUAUAUUAAAGUUGUUGCAGUUAAAAAGCUCGUAGUUGGAUUUCUGGUUGGAGCGACCGGUCGGGCAUUGAUUUGUCUGCACUGGAGUCGGUUCUGGCCAUCCUCUUGGAAAGUGCGUCUGUCAUUAAGUUGUCGGGCGUAUGAUCCAGGUCUUUUACUGUGAAAAAAUUAGAGUGUUUAAAGCAGGCCUUCGCCUUGAAUACAUUAGCAUGGAAUAAUAAGAUAGGACUUUGGUCUAUUUUGUUGGUUUGCAGACCGAAGUAAUGAUUAAUAGGGAUAGUUGGGGGUAUUUAUAUUCCAAUGUCAGAGGUGAAAUUCUUAGAUUUUUGGAAGAUAAACUUAUGCGAAAGCAUUUACCAAGGAUGUUUUCAUCA
Molecule: ribosomal RNA, 391 nt
Filed under: Stramenopiles sp. MAST-4D
Lineage: Eukaryota
Description: partial small subunit ribosomal RNA
Rfam family: Eukaryotic small subunit ribosomal RNA
Source: RNAcentral